RNAcentral lists this ribosomal RNA (986 nucleotides) under Staphylococcus epidermidis. RNAcentral's name for it is "bacterial SSU rRNA". It matches the Rfam family "Bacterial small subunit ribosomal RNA", at positions 53 to 1022 of the family's 1533-position model. Lineage: Bacteria; Bacillati; Bacillota; Bacilli; Caryophanales; Staphylococcaceae. The record is from RNAcentral.
ACUGCAGUCGAGCGAANAGACGAGGAGCUUGCUCCUCUGACGUUAGCGGCGGACGGGUGAGUAACACGUGGAUAACCUACCUAUAAGACUGGGAUAACUUCGGGAAACCGGAGCUAAUACCGGAUAAUAUAUUGAACCGCAUGGUUCAAUAGUGAAAGACGGUUUUGCUGUCACUUAUAGAUGGAUCCGCGCCGCAUUAGCUAGUUGGUAAGGUAACGGCUUACCAAGGCAACGAUGCGUAGCCGACCUGAGAGGGUGAUCGGCCACACUGGAACUGAGACACGGUCCAGACUCCUACGGGAGGCAGCAGUAGGGAAUCUUCCGCAAUGGGCGAAAGCCUGACGGAGCAACGCCGCGUGAGUGAUGAAGGUCUUCGGAUCGUAAAACUCUGUUAUUAGGGAAGAACAAAUGUGUAAGUAACUAUGCACGUCUUGACGGUACCUAAUCAGAAAGCCACGGCUAACUACGUGCCAGCAGCCGCGGUAAUACGUAGGUGGCAAGCGUUAUCCGGAAUUAUUGGGCGUAAAGCGCGCGUAGGCGGUUUUUUAAGUCUGAUGUGAAAGCCCACGGCUCAACCGUGGAGGGUCAUUGGAAACUGGAAAACUUGAGUGCAGAAGAGGAAAGUGGAAUUCCAUGUGUAGCGGUGAAAUGCGCAGAGAUAUGGAGGAACACCAGUGGCGAAGGCGACUUUCUGGUCUGUAACUGACGCUGAUGUGCGAAAGCGUGGGGAUCAAACAGGAUUAGAUACCCUGGUAGUCCACGCCGUAAACGAUGAGUGCUAAGUGUUAGGGGGUUUCCGCCCCUUAGUGCUGCAGCUAACGCAUUAAGCACUCCGCCUGGGGAGUACGACCGCAAGGUUGAAACUCAAAGGAAUUGACGGGGACCCGCACAAGCGGUGGAGCAUGUGGUUUAUUUCGAAGCAACGCGAAAAAACUUACNAAAUCUUGACAUCCUCUUACCCCACUAUAAAUAGAGUUUUCCCUUUC